AUAUUUACUUGGCAGAAAAGUUACCAUGAUCAAACUUUGUGGUUUUCCAAGGGUGAGGCUCAUGCAUUGCACAGCGGAUGUGCUUACCCCUGCGAUUUUCCCAGAUAUGGGAAAUUCCACUGCAUAGUUUAUUGUAGUGGGGAGCUCCACGCUUUUUCCUA
This is a small nuclear RNA of Loxodonta africana (African savanna elephant), 161 nucleotides long. It matches the Rfam family "U1 spliceosomal RNA". From Rfam's summary of the family: U1 is a small nuclear RNA (snRNA) component of the spliceosome (involved in pre-mRNA splicing). Its 5' end forms complementary base pairs with the 5' splice junction, thus defining the 5' donor site of an intron. Lineage: Eukaryota; Metazoa; Chordata; Mammalia; Proboscidea; Elephantidae. The record is from Rfam.